This 162-nucleotide ribosomal RNA is filed under the name Searsia discolor. Its description in RNAcentral is "5.8S ribosomal RNA". It matches the Rfam family "5.8S ribosomal RNA". Rfam says of the family: 5.8S ribosomal RNA (5.8S rRNA) is a component of the large subunit of the eukaryotic ribosome. It is transcribed by RNA polymerase I as part of the 45S precursor that also contains 18S and 28S rRNA. Lineage: Eukaryota; Viridiplantae; Streptophyta; Magnoliopsida; Sapindales; Anacardiaceae. The record is from RNAcentral.
ACGACUCUCGGCAACGGAUAUCUCGGCUCUCGCAUCGAUGAAGAACGUAGCGAAAUGCGAUACUUGGUGUGAAUUGCAGAAUCCCGUGAACCAUCGAGUCUUUGAACGCAAGUUGCGCCCCAAGCCGUUAGGCCGAGGGCACGUCUGCCUGGGUGUCACGCA